Parasteatoda tepidariorum (common house spider) is the source of this 1334-nucleotide long non-coding RNA. RefSeq lists it as uncharacterized. NCBI's taxonomy places the organism in Eukaryota, Metazoa, Arthropoda, Arachnida, Araneae, Theridiidae. The record is from RefSeq and is a predicted model, not a curated record.
AUGUGUUUAGUGUGAAUGUGCAUUUAGAAUAGAGAAAUUGUAAUUUUCCUGUCUCUCAGCCGUUCAUUCCACGCAUAACCUAAAAAUGAACAGAAAUAAGCAUCUGCUGAGAGUGGUUUAGGCUUUUAAGAAUUAUUUAAAAGUGAAAUAGCCGAUAACUUUAGUAUUUCCGAUUGAUUUAUUUCAAUAUUUAUAUUAUCUUUCACUUAUUUUGAGCUAAAGACUAGCAGACUUGACAAGUGCUUGAAUUUCCUACUAAUGUCAACUAACAGUUCCAAAUGAUCAAGUUUUAAGUACUGUAUUAUGACUUCUCUGAAGGAAACAUUUUUCGUCUGAACCAGAAAUUAUCAUUGAACAUAGCAAUGUAAAACAUAGCAAAAGUACUCUUUCUUAAAAAGGAGAAAAAGAAGUAGUCAAGAUAUGAUUCUCAUUUGUAGAAUCUGAUAAAAUUAUUAGCCACUAGAUGGUGUCUUAUAUUGAAAAUGUAACACAGAGCCACUAGAUGGCGUCUCAUAAUGUAAAUGUAAUAUAGAUUGGUUUAAGAAUUCAAUGAAGGCAGAUGUAAGCCUAAUGUACCAACAGAAAUUUUUGUUAUUGUUUGAAAUGAGAGCUCAGAUAAAGCAGAAAAAAUUAGAAGGCUCUAUAAACUACCAAAUAAAAAGUUUGAAACAAUUUUGUAAUUAGAAGUAGGGAUAUAACGAAUAUUCGGCCGCAGCCCUUUUGCUGAAUAUUUGGCGAAAUAUGCGGCUAAAUGUUCAGACAAAUAUUCCUUAAAGUAUUUUUUGGAAAAGUACUUUCGACAAAGUUUUAUUGGGAGGAAUUUGAACAAAUUUAAUAAAGCAUAAUCUAUAAUCGUAUCUUUUACUAUCCAUUAUUAAAAAUAGUUUUUUACACAUAUUGUCCAAGUUCUAAAACAUGUUAAUUUAUAUUUUGACAAAUGAAAAAGCAAAACUUGAAGAAUUGAAACUAGAUCACUUUAUACUUAACAUUAAGUUUUGUACAACUGAUUUUUAUUUUAAUAGCAUUCAGGCAAGUCUGUUUCUUAAUUUUUUCAACACUUUUUUCUUUUAUUUUUUUUUUAAGAAUUUAGAAUUUUUUAGUUUUAAUUAUAGCACAGCAUUUUAACAGAGCAUUUCUUAUGAACUUAAUUCUUUUAUUGUCACUUUUUUCCUGUAGGAUAAGACAGAUUACUGGUAAAAGUGUGAUUCUCAAUGUUAAAGUUAUUUCAUAACUAAGAAAUUUUUUUUCUCUGUUUUACUUUUUUUUUUUUGUUUGUUAGAGUUUAUAAAGAGUGUUUCAAAUAAACUUGAUUCUUUUAUGGUCCUUUUUCUGAA